Molecule: ribosomal RNA, 158 nt
Filed under: Teichospora nephelii
Lineage: Eukaryota; Fungi; Ascomycota; Dothideomycetes; Pleosporales; Teichosporaceae
Description: 5.8S ribosomal RNA
Rfam family: 5.8S ribosomal RNA
About the family: 5.8S ribosomal RNA (5.8S rRNA) is a component of the large subunit of the eukaryotic ribosome. It is transcribed by RNA polymerase I as part of the 45S precursor that also contains 18S and 28S rRNA.
Source: RNAcentral
CAACUUUCAACAAUGGAUCUCUUGGCUCUGGCAUCGAUGAAGAACGCAGCGAAAUGCGAUAAGUAGUGUGAAUUGCAGAAUUCCGUGAAUCAUCGAAUCUUUGAACGCACAUUGCGCCCCUCGGUAUUCCGUGGGGCAUGCCUGUUCGAGCGUCAUUU